GACGAACGCUGGCGGCGUGCUUAACACAUGCAAGUCGAACGGAAAGGCCCUGCUUUUGUGGGGUGCUCGAGUGGCGAACGGGUGAGUAACACGUGAGUAACCUGCCCUUGACUUUGGGAUAACUUCAGGAAACUGGGGCUAAUACCGGAUAGGAGCUCCUGCUGCAUGGUGGGGGUUGGAAAGGUUCGGCGGUUGGGGAUGGACUCGCGGCUUAUCAGCUUGUUGGUGGGGUAGUGGCUUACCAAGGCUUUGACGGGUAGCCGGCCUGGGAGGGUGACCGGCCACAUUGGGACUGAGAUACGGCCCAGACUCCUACGGGAGGCAGCAGUGGGGAAUAUUGCACAAUGGGCGGAAGCCUGAUGCAGCAACGCCGCGUGCGGGAUGACGGCCUUCGGGCUGUAAACCGCUUUCGCCUGUGACGAAGCGUGAGUGACGGUAAUGGGUAAAGAAGCACCGGCUAACUACGUG
Molecule: ribosomal RNA, 468 nt
Filed under: uncultured bacterium
Lineage: Bacteria
Description: partial 16S ribosomal RNA
Rfam family: Bacterial small subunit ribosomal RNA
Source: RNAcentral